RNAcentral lists this ribosomal RNA (321 nucleotides) under uncultured Chloroflexota bacterium. RNAcentral's name for it is "bacterial SSU rRNA". It matches the Rfam family "Bacterial small subunit ribosomal RNA", at positions 28 to 351 of the family's 1533-position model. The record is from RNAcentral. Lineage: Bacteria; Bacillati; Chloroflexota.
GAUGAACGCUGGCGGCGUGCCUAACACAUGUAAGUCGCACGGUGAACUUUGCCUUUGGCGAGGGGAUCAGUGGCGAACGGGUGAGUAACACGUAGGUGACCUGCCCCAAAGAGAGGAAUAACUCUGCGAAAGCGGAGCUAAUACUUCGUGUGGUUAGCUAUUCAUUUAGUUAACUAAAGCUUCGGCGCUUUGGGAGGGGCCUGCGGCCCAUCAGCUAGUUGGUAGGGUAAUGGCUUACCAAGGCGAAGACGGGUAGCUGGUCUGAGAGGACGAUCAGCCACAAUGGCACUGAAACACGGGCCAUACUCCUACGGGAGGCUG